AGAGUUUGAUCAUGGCUCAGAUUGAACGCUGGCGGCAUGCCUUACACAUGCAAGUCGAACGGCAGCACGGGAGCAAUCCUGGUGGCGAGUGGCGAACGGGUGAGUAAUGUAUCGGAACGUACCUUUCAGUGGGGGAUAACGUAGCGAAAGUUACGCUAAUACCGCAUAUUCUGUGAGCAGGAAAGCAGGGGAUCGCAAGACCUUGCGCUGAUUGAGCGGCCGAUAUCAGAUUAGCUAGUUGGUGGGGUAAAAGCUCACCAAGGCGACGAUCUGUAGCGGGUCUGAGAGGAUGAUCCGCCACACUGGAACUGAGACACGGUCCAGACUCCUACGGGAGGCAGCAGUGGGGAAUUUUGGGCAAUGGGGGCAACCCUGAUCCAGCCAUGCCGCGUGAGUGAAGAAGGCCUUCGGGUUGUAAAGCUCUUUCGGCCGGGAAGAAAUCGCAUUGGUUAAUACCCGGUGUGGAUGACGGUACCGGAAUAAGAAGCACCGGCUAACUACGUGCCAGCAGCCGCGGUAAUACGUAGGGUGCGAGCGUUAAUCGGAAUUACUGGGCGUAAAGCGUGCGCAGGCGGUUUGUUAAGAUAGGCGUGAAAUCCCCGGGCUCAACCUGGGAACUGCGUUUAUGACUGGCAGGCUAGAGUAUGGCAGAGGGGGGUGGAAUUCCACGUGUAGCAGUGAAAUGCGUAGAGAUGUGGAGGAACACCGAUGGCGAAGGCAGCCCCCUGGGCCAAUAUCUGACGCUCAUGCACGAAAGC
RNAcentral lists this ribosomal RNA (758 nucleotides) under uncultured bacterium. Its description in RNAcentral is "bacterial SSU rRNA". It matches the Rfam family "Bacterial small subunit ribosomal RNA", at positions 8 to 760 of the family's 1533-position model. The record is from RNAcentral.